This 253-nucleotide ribosomal RNA is filed under the name uncultured bacterium. Its description in RNAcentral is "partial 16S ribosomal RNA". It matches the Rfam family "Bacterial small subunit ribosomal RNA", at positions 524 to 776 of the family's 1533-position model. The record is from RNAcentral.
UACGGAGGGGGCGAGUGUUGUUCGGAAUUACUGGGCGUAAAGGGCGCGCAGGCGGCCUGGCAAGUCGAGUGUGAACUCCCUUGGCCUAACUGAGGAAUGGCGCUCGAAACUACCUCGCUGGAGGGCGGGAGAGGGAAGUGGAACUCUCGGUGUAGGGGUGAAAUCUGUAGAUAUCGAGAGGAACACCGGUGGCGAAGGCGGCUUCCUGGCCCGUACCUGACGCUGAGGCGCGAAAGCGUGGGGAGCAAACAGG